Sciurus carolinensis (gray squirrel) is the source of this 2098-nucleotide long non-coding RNA. RefSeq lists it as uncharacterized. The transcript is spliced from 3 exons. The record is from RefSeq and is a predicted model, not a curated record. Lineage: Eukaryota; Metazoa; Chordata; Mammalia; Rodentia; Sciuridae.
CUUGCUUUGGGGCCUCACUCUGCACAGUUCCUGCUUCAGGGCCUGUCCUCCCACACAGGACAAGCACAGAGCAGGCCGGGGACACUGGGCCAUGUCCCCUCAGUCAACCCCCUGCUGAGCCUUGGGCUCUGCCUGGGCCAGCGGAUCCACACACAGGCAGGAGCCCCACGUGACAUCAGCCCCACCCACACAACUGGCUCCCCCACAGGUGGGUCUCCUGGAACUCUGCAAGGGGUAGUGCCCAUGGGGACAGGUUCUGCCUGAGAAGUGGGAAAGUGGCUCCCAUUUCAGGGGCCCUGAGUUGGGUUUUUCCCACCUGUCGGCGACCUGUCCUGAGCGGUCACCUCUGUCCUGCUCCAGCCUCCACCCUCCAGAGCUACAAGGGGCUGAACUUUGUCUCCCUGGGCCUGGCUGGGCUGGUCUUGGUGAUCCUGGUGGUGAUUCUGGGAGGAGCUUGGCACAGCUGGCUGAGGUCACAGAAAGAAGAGGGCACCUGCCAGCGAGCUUAGACCCCAGGACCCAGGGAGAGGCCCUCGAGGACCCAGCCCAUGUGGAGCCCCAGGAGACCAGAGGUCACCAUGACUGUGCACCGUGGACCUGGACACUGCUGGUCUGAACGCGUUCUCAGCCUGCACCAGGGAGCAGUGUGGACCCACCCCAGCCUCCUUCGGUGUCUGCCCCUGUCCCCCAGGGUGGCCGCCAUGCUGCACACCCAUCACCAGGGCGCUGGCGCACAUCUGGCUCCAGGCUCUGGCUUGAGCAGCUGGAGCGCUGGGCGUGUCUGACUCAGGCAUCAGGGGGCUUGUUCACGGGGCUCGGAUCCCGCUCAAGGGCAGUGACUCAGGCAAGUGGCUGGACAAAGGAGCCCACAGACUCAGCUGGGUGUCCCAGCCGGAAGGCACCAACCUGGACGCCUUUCCCACACCUCGCCUGGUCUUCCAGGGGCUCCCAGCGCCGCUCCUCCCCGGCAUCAGCAGCUGGAGCCCAUGCCCCUGCUCUGCCUGGAGAGUGGCGGCUCCCCCACGGGCCCCUGCGUCUCCCUGCAUGACUGGUAGUGAUGGUGCUGGUUGGCAGGGUGGUGCAGCCAGGGUAGGAGUGCUGGUUGGGAGGCUGGUGUCGAUUCUCCUUGUUCAGUUGUGCUUCAACGUCGUUUGCUGGAGAGAGGCGGGGCAGGCGGAAUCUCUCAGAUGCUGGUUGCUGCACCACUUGCUGUAGCCUAUUAGAGGAUCCAUGGAACUUUCCUGAUGAAGGGGAAGAGCUGGGCAGUUAGGCCAGCACCCUGACAGGUAGAGACUGCUAGGAAAACCUGCACACAUGCCUGUGAUACAGGCACGCAAAAGCAGAAUGCUGUUUCCAGAGUCAAAUACUGUGAACCCCAGAAUCCAUCAGCAGCUGGAUGAAUGAACAUCUCUAUGUUGCCUUUAUACAGUGGAAUAUUAUACACUAGCGAAAACAUCCAAUCUAGCACUGGAAGCAAAAAUACAGAUCUAGUUUUCAAACAUAACAGUGAAUGAAAGAGGGAAGCCGAGUGCAGGUGACAUUUUAUUGUUAAAGAGACCACGUGAGUCUCCUGCGAGGCAAACAACCGUGCAGAAACUUGAAUAAAGAAAGAAAACGAGCCACUGAAAAUACUGUUGCAUGACAUAAGGCAAAAAAGGAGGGAUCACAUGAAAAGAGAAGGGAGGUCCAUGAAAUAAAGAAGGGGACUAGAGGGGGCGAGGAGGAAGGGCAAAGUGAGCCUGACAGCUUCCCUGCCUGCGCACACGAGUGUGCCACAGAGAUGCUACCUUUGUGAGGAGCUAUAGAGCAGCAGUUUAAAAACAGUGAGAAAAUAGAAGGAAGAGCAGCAGAGUAGAGAAAGAGGGUCUGGGGUGGAAGGAGGAGGCACUGGGGCCUGAGGUGCAGCAUGUGAUCAUUGCUGUGUGACUAGGUCAGAGUGAACCCCCUCCACACGACUCCAACUCACUAAGGAAGACAUGACACCACAACUGCAUAAGAGGUGCAAGUUCUAUGGCUCUCCAGCACAGGCCGUGGCUGUGGUUGCAAUCCUUGCAUCUUAAGAAGAACCAGAAGAGAGCAGCAUCACCACCACCACCAU